This 28-nucleotide transfer RNA is filed under the name Diodontus guichardi. Its description in RNAcentral is "partial tRNA-Trp". Lineage: Eukaryota; Metazoa; Arthropoda; Insecta; Hymenoptera; Crabronidae. The record is from RNAcentral.
AAAAAUAUUAACAUAUUAAUAAAUUUUA